GAUGAACGCUGGCGGCGUGCCUAAUACAUGCAAGUCGAGCGAACGGACGAGAAGCUUGCUUCUCUGAUGUUAGCGGCGGACGGGUGAGUAACACGUGGAUAACCUACCUAUAAGACUGGGAUAACUUCGGGAAACCGGAGCUAAUACCGGAUAAUAUUUUGAACCGCAUGGUUCAAAAGUGAAAGACGGUCUUGCUGUCACUUAUAGAUGGAUCCGCGCUGCAUUAGCUAGUUGGUAAGGUAACGGCUUACCAAGGCAACGAUGCAUAGCCGACCUGAGAGGGUGAUCGGCCACACGGGAACUGAGACACGGUCCAGGCUCCUACGGGAGGCAGCAGUAGGGAAUCUGCCGCAGUGGGCGAAAGUCUGACGGAGCAACGCCGCGUGAGUGAUGAAGGUCUUCGGAUCGUAAAACUCUGUUAUUAGGGAAGAACAUAUGGGUAAGUAACUGUGCACAUCUUGACGGUACCUAAUCAGAAAGCCACGGCUAACUACGU
This 496-nucleotide ribosomal RNA is filed under the name uncultured bacterium. RNAcentral's name for it is "partial 16S ribosomal RNA". It matches the Rfam family "Bacterial small subunit ribosomal RNA", at positions 28 to 506 of the family's 1533-position model. The record is from RNAcentral.